UUGAAUUCAAAGUAUCAAGAAAGGAUUCGCGACUCUCAUCAUUCACACAGCUUUACUAAAUUCUGAGAAGGAGCAUCAAUGGACGAGCCGAAACCCGUGCCCCAGACCCAGAGCAGGAAGAGACCUCUUCCGCACUCCCCCUAUUACAAGAUGCGUCAACUUCUCAAAGACCUUCGCCCCCAUUUCAUCGACGUCCGGUUUUUUAUUUUGUCGAUUUCUCUUGCCAUCGACGUCUACUUUUCUAUUCUUGCUGAAAUCAUUUGUCUCCAACGCAAUGGUUAUAGUAGUUCGUGUGUAUCUCGACGUGCUAAUGGUUUCUUCAGUUUCAGUUUUCCGCAUAUAGACUAAAUUCUUAGUCUUCAAUUUGCUUUCUCAGCAUAAUAGUUAAUAAUUAAUCGACUAAUUGACUGUGGAUGAAAUGUUAGAUUCUUAGUUGAAUCUUGGAAAGUAACAACUGUUUUUGAAGAGUAGUUAGAGCUUGAUCUUCUUGAAUCAGUAGACAGUAAUGUUACAUCAAGCAAAGGGAUCAUUGAAGAAGAUUACCAUAAUGUACAAACUCCCUUUAUUUCCCCUUUCCGCAUAAACAUGCAAUAACGAAAGUCAACAGUGCUUGUAUCUGCAAUGCCUCGGUGCUUUGGGAACGGACAGAUUAGAAAGAAAGUUUUUCUUCAAGUAUGUGUUCUCUUUCGAUAUGGCUUCUUUUACUGAAGUUUCGUAAGCUUUUGAAAAGGCAUGUUUGAGGUAUUUAUCUUUAUGCAUGAGUAUUACAGUGAAUCUUAUGAAUAAACUCAGUUCUUGGAUGGACUAGAUAUCCUUAUGUAUGAUUAUGACAACAAAUGUUGAUCUGGGUAUGGAGUGUGGACUUGGUUAGUUCAUACAAUUAGAGGUUGAAAAUUCGGAAUAUUAGUUGGAAGUUGCUCCCUAAGGAGACUUAUUCCGUUUAGCCAUUUUCUUUGUUUAGUUUUAUCAAAGUGGUUGCAGAGGUAUGGAAACUGCUUAUUAUGUGAGAAAAAAUGGAGCUUAAUUGUUAUGAGUAUAUUCAAUAAAAAAAUUGCUGGCUAUGGUUUGUAGUGUUUUAUAUUAAGAGAGAAAAAAUUCACAUUAAGUUUGUUGUUGCUAACUAAGCUAGUUAAUUCCAUUUCUAAAGUACCUACUAAUAUUCUUGUAGAGAGUGAGCUCAUUAAGUGCAUGGCCUGAUAAUUUUGUGAUGUGUGCAAUCUUGCUGGUGCUUAAGACCCCUGACUUUCGAAAUUGACAAGCAGCUGAUGAAAUCCGUCAAGGGAUGAAGCUUCUGAUGGAACUGUACCAAGAGACGACAGAAAAGGCUGUUAAGCUGGAAAAAUGCAGCAACGGUGACAAUGCCGAUGCCAAGAAAGCAGUGAAACCUGCUGACAAUCCUCUGCUGGACGAUGUUAUGUCUGCCCUGCCUCCAGAAACUCAGGAACAAAGAACACUCAUCGUUGGGGGCUCUGCUUUCGGGUGGAAUUUCAUAACAUGCCAUAGCAGAAGAGCUGUCUACUACGGGCGAACAAAAGAAGCUUUUCGGGCACUAAAUCCCAAGUCUAGCUGAAUGUGGAACUAAUGAUAGUGUAACAUGUGUUAGGAUAAUGUACCAGUUUAUGUCAGAAGCUAUAUUUUGCAGGUUUCUAUCUUCAAUGUAGAGAAAAUUGUUGGAAAUUUGUAUUGAUGUAUUCUGCGUUCAUUCUUUGUA
Salvia splendens (bonfire salvia) is the source of this 1711-nucleotide long non-coding RNA. RefSeq lists it as uncharacterized. NCBI's taxonomy places the organism in Eukaryota, Viridiplantae, Streptophyta, Magnoliopsida, Lamiales, Lamiaceae. The transcript is spliced from 2 exons. The record is from RefSeq and is a predicted model, not a curated record.